RNAcentral lists this long non-coding RNA (1408 nucleotides) under Equus asinus (donkey). Its description in RNAcentral is "lncRNA (ENSEASG00005026233.1)". The record is from RNAcentral. Lineage: Eukaryota; Metazoa; Chordata; Mammalia; Perissodactyla; Equidae.
GUUGACAAACGCAGAGAUUGGAGUUACGCAAAGCCAAAAUGCUAAAGAUGGCCAGCAAACCACCAGCAGCUGGCAAGGAACAAGAAAGAUUCCCCUCCAGGGUUCAGAGAGGACGCAGUCCUGCUGACACCUUGAUUUUGGACUUCCAGCCUCCAGAUUGCCCGACAAUACGCUUCUGUCGUUUUAACCCACCCCGUUUGUGGUCCUUUGUUGCUGCAGCCGAAGGAAACGAAUUUGGCUUCUAUGAAUCAAUAGAAAAAAUUAGCAGAGGACAGAGGAGAAACACAAAUGGCUCUUAGAAAAAUGACAGUAAAAUACUGUUUGCCUCAGUUAGCUUUUGCUGUUUUAUGCCACCCCAAAACUUAGUGGCUUAAAAUAACAAACAUUAUGCCUCAGGAUUCUGUGGGUUGGCUGGGCCCAGCUGGUGGAGGCUGGCUUGGCUCUUCUUGGAUGGCGUCACGCAAAGGUCCUCAGCUGGGUUGGCUGGGAUGCCCGGAGCCUCUCUCCGAACGGCUUCCCAUCCGACAUGAGGCAAGCCUGUUCACACGGUGGCAAAAGGGUUUCCAGCAGCCGGAAACGUAGAGUAGAAGCUCCGAGUUCCCCUGAGGCCGGGGCUCAGGAUGCAGGCGACGUCGCUUCCACCUCAUUCUAUUGGUCAAAGCGAGUUCCAAGCCGGGCUCAGAAAUGAGGAGAGGCAAAUAGACACCAUCUCUCUCUCUCUCUUUUUUUUCCUUUUUCCUUCUUCUCCCCAAAGCCCCUCAGUACAUAGCUGGAUAUUUUAGUUGUGGGUCCUUCUAGUUGCGGCAAGUGGGAUGCUGCCUCAAUGUGGCCUGAAGAGCGAUGCUAUGUUGGCGCCCAGGAUCCGAACCGGCGAAACCCUGGGCUGCCGAAGAGGAGCGUGAGAAUCCAACCACUUGGCCACGGGGCCGGCCCCAAGACACCACCUCCUGAUGGAAGGAACUGCACAGACUUCGUGGUUAUUUGUGUUCUACCACACCCUUCACUGGCAGCCCAGGUUACCAGCUAACCUUUGAGGACACCAGCUGCUUCUCGUCAGGAAGCACCGGGAGCCACUCCCCUCUUCCCGACUCCAGACUCCAGACUGGGGGACCGGCUCUCCCUUCUUCCCACGUCUCCUGGACCAAGCGGCUCUGCAUCCACCCAGGAAGGAGCCGGGAUCGUGCUCUGACUCCUCCCUGCUCUAGUGCUCCUGGGAGCGCUGGUGGCCCCAGCAGGUAGGUGCACGGUGGGUGGUCCCUCUGAGCGAGAGGAUCAGCCCAUCUUCAUAUGGGUGGUGGGAAUCUGGCUUCAGAAUCUGAGCCCAGCUCUUUCCACCUCGGCUUUCUGUCUGGUGGAGACUGCUGAAGGGAGUGUUUGAGAGCACAGUUCUGGAGCCAGGCUGCCUGGG